AAUCAACAUUGCUUAACUGAAGAAUCACGAUAAUAAAUCACAGUGCAUUAAGUGCCCACCAUAGUCUUAAGACCUGUGUUUAACGUGCCCAAGCCCAUACUUUUGAGAGCACCAUGUGAGCACCUGUGUGUGUACACGCGCUUGUUUAUUUAAGGUUUUUCUAUAGGAGCGCCCAACAGAGAGUGUGAGGGACCACAGAUCCGCCCCCCAAAGAUGCGCAGGAGAUGGGGGAGCUCCAAGUCCCAGAGAUCCAGGCGCUGCCCCAGAACGCAGGAACCCCAAGGAGACUGCAACCAGGAAGGCCCCCGCCCCCCUCGAGAGGCACAGAGGAUCGUCCCGGGGGGCCACAACCAGCAGCCGGCAGAGUCCCUGGAGAUAUCAGCGGAAAGCCCACAGGCCCGCCCGCAGCCUCCCACCCCCUAGCCGGCCGAGCCCGGGACCCAGCGACCCGGGACCCAGGGGCGACCACCCCCGCCGGGGACCCAGCAGAGCCCAGGGACCCAGACCCCACCAGGCAGCCACCGGGAUCUAACAGGCAGAUGCCAAAAUCUUAAACCCCCAGACCAGGUUGCCACGAACACUCAGGCAGACCAAGGCACAAGCCCCCACACCAGGUGUGGCAGGGGGAGGGGGGACAGAGAUCUAUAUCAUCAAGAGAAGUUCCAGGAGAGGGGAGGACCCAAAGGCCCCACCUGACAUAUACAGUCAUACACAAACACAGUCACACGCUCCCUCCCUCAUGCUCACACAUGCACAUACAACCCAAGACUUACAAAAAUGCAUGCCGGACACCCACUCAUGCUCCCCAUACACACCCUAUUCACUCUGGUCCCGGUACUGCUGCACAUUGGGUACAACCAUCACCGAUAACCAGAGUUUGACCUUUUCAAGACCGGGUUUCUUAAGAAGGGGUUAGGCUGCACAAUUAUGGCAAAAAUGAUAACCACGAUUAUUUUUAACGAAACUGAUAUCUCGAUUAUUUAACACGAUUAUUCAGUAACUUUGAUUAAAGUCAUUUAUUGAACAUAACAUUGACUUUUUAACAUUUAUCAUCUGUAGCUUUACAGACAUUUAGCAAAACUGACUUAAUUCUCCCAAACUAAAUGUGUAACUUUGUGUUAAGUGCAACAACAACUGAAAUGUACAAAAACACACUGUAUUAAAAUAGAAUAUAUAUAAAGAACAUUUUGCCAUGAACUUCCACAACCUACUCAAACUACUUUCAAUAGUAAAAAAAAAAAAAGAAAUGUAAAAGCUAUUUAUUUUCAAUCAUCCUUCAUCUAUCAAGGUCAAACAUCACACGUUAUUUUGAGGUAUGUAAAUCUUAGUGUGUGGUACCUGGAAAAAAAAUCCAGUAAGGCACCACUGAUUGUAAACAAUACUGUAUACAUAAAAAAGGACUCAAAUAGUAACUUUGUCUUGAAAUAUAAAAUAUAAAGUGCAACAACAACUGAAAAGUGCACAGUGUAUGAAAAUAGAAAAAAUAGAAAAAACAUUUAGCCAUGAAAUUAACUCCAUGACUUAAACUACUGAUCUUUAAAAACUAAAAUAGAAAACAAAUGUGCAUGCUCAAGUUCUUUACUUUUACACUUUCUUUAUGACAACCCAGGGUCCAGACCAGGAAGUAGAGUCGUAGUUUAACCCACCUCUCUGUAGCUUCUGUACUGUUACCCACGCACUACCCCAUAGAGACAGUGUCCUGCCCACGGCCAAAAUCACACAGAUUAAAUAUCAGGCUUAAUAAAGCAAAUCAUGGAAAUCUCAUAAAUAUUAGAACAAAUUCAACUGAGCAGAAAACUAGAAAAAUUAAAUGUGGGUUGUUGAACAUUAGAUCCAUUUUUUCUACGACUUUGUUAGUUAAUGAGUUGAUUUGUGAUAAUCAGAUCUCUUUGCUCUCUCUCACAGAAUCCUGGCUGCAGCAAGAGGACUAUGUUAGCUUAAACGAGUCGACUCCUUCAAAUUAUUUAAAUCAUCAUAUUGCUCGAAGUACAGGGUGAGGAGGAGGAGUGGCAACCAUUUUUCAUUCGGACUUAUUAAUCAGUCCCUUACAGAUUAAUAGUUACAGUUCGUUUGAAUCUAAUCCAAAUUGCAAAACUGUAAAACCACUCUUGUUUGUAGUUUUUUAUCGUCCACCAGGCCCUUACUCUGAGUUUUUGGAUCAGAUCUCUGAUUUUUUAUCUGAUUUGGUGCUAAAUACUGAUAAGGUCAUUGUAGUGGGGGAUUUUAAUAUUCAUGUGGACAUUGAAAAUGAUAGCCUCAAUGUAGCCUUUAGUAAUAUCUUAGACUCAAUUGGUUUUACUCAAAGAAUACAUAGGUCCACCCACUCCUGCCAUCAUACAUUGGACCUUGUGCUGACUUAUGGCAUUGAGUGUGAGGAAAUAACAAUCUUUCCACAUAAUCCAGUCAUCUCGGACCACUUUCUGAUAACCUUUGAGUUUUUUAUAACUGAGUUCUCGAGACACGAAAGUAAAUUUCACUAUAGUCGGUCUCUAUCUGACAACGCAGUUGCAUCUUUUAAAUCAACUGUUCCAUCUUUACUGUCCUCAGCAUCUCAGAGGCAUGUAACAGAGGGCAAUAUUUUCAGUUCUAGCCCCUCACAAAUUGAUGCCUUAGUUAAUUCCUCUUUACGUGUGGCAUUAGAUUACAUAUGUCAGAGUCAAGGCCCGCGGGCCAGAUGCGGCCCGCGGAGCAUUUUUAUGUGGCCCGCGAGAUAAAUAUCAAAAAUAUAUUAAACCUGGCCCGCUGGCCGAUUUUACCGCAAAGACUUCAACUCCCAUGAUGCUUUGCGGCGUCAGCGUGGAGCCGACGAAGCCCCCUCCUUUGUGUUUUUUCAGCGCCUGCUGCCGGUGUUAUGCCAUAAAUCGACUCGCUGCCAAAAAAUGAUUAGCCACCGCGGGAUCGCGCACGGUUAGGGCAAUUGCAUUUCUAGACGAAAUUCCCCAGGAUUUCGCCCUAAAACUCGGCAUAUCUAGCAAUAUGGACAUUCAGAAAGCAGAGGUAACCUCUUCCGGUACUUAAACAGAUGUUUAUCGCGGAUAUUAGUUUUUCCAGUUGGGAAGUUGUUUUAAGUGUUGCUAUUGUCUUAAACGUUCACAAUGAGGAUAUAUUAAUCCUUUUUGCAAUAUUUGCGAUUGAAAGACGGAUUGUGAUAAGAACUGGCUUUCUUUAUGUUACAGCCUUGAUACUAAAAAAUAAAUAAAAAAAUGUAAAAUGGCGCCCUGUAUUGAAUGUAAACGCUGUAUAAAUGGAAAUAAACAAUUCUCCAGCGAUUUGAUUUAUCCCCCCUUCCUUCUUUAGUCCACUUGACAUGGAGCCACGGUUCACUAGUUUGGGGCACAUUUUUACUUGAAAAAUAGUAUUUAAACUGAUCAAGCUUUGGCUUUAAUGACACUGUGUAGGUUACUAUCUAUUCAUUACGUUGCUCUAUUUAAAAGUAACAAGAUAAAAUCACUUCAGCACAUAAAAUUAAGAUUGUCACUUGCCAAAUAGAGACUGCACCCUCCUGUUUACCUAUAAGAAACGCCUCAUAAUAUCUUUAAAUUCUUUAUUGAUGAUUUAAUUGUAGACAACUAAAAUGGCAUUUUACUUGCCAAAAAGUUUGCAGCCGCAAACGAAACAUUUCAGGUAAAUCAAACCUUUCUGUGUUGUAAAAAGAACUAAAAGAUGGAAUUGUUGUUUUAUCCUUGUUCACAGGCUGGGAUUCUAAAGGGAAAUUCCAUCCUACUUGUGUGGCUGAAGGACAUCGUCAACCAAUUUUGGUACAUUUGCCAGAAAGCACAACAUCGUGAUAUGUUUAAUGACAUGUGGGUGGUCUGUGAUAAAGAGCUCAUGGUGCCAGGAUCACCACCACACGAGGCUCUUCAAUGAAUCAUGUUCAACAGACGCUGGUUGAAGGAUGUCACCAAGUAUCUGACCUUUAGGUCAACUUCGGAACUGGAGAGUUUCCAGAAUUACAUUCUCAUGUAUGCUGGAAAAAGGUUUGCCUUCUCUCCUCCUGUCUACGAAGCCAGGUGCCUUCUUGCUGCGUUGGAUUACAACCACCACAACCACCGACCAGAUUAUAUAACCCGGAAAAAUUAGAAAUACAAGCGACUCUACAGCAAAAAGUCACAAAAUUACCGCGUACAAGUGGUCAAGGUUGCCAAAGACUACAGCUACAUCCCUGAACUUCAGCGUUGCAUCCUCAGAAAACGUAUGGAUGGAGGGGCGCCCCCAAGAAAGGCAAAACGCAACCCCGAUGACCCAAGAAAUCUUGGGAAUUUAACUGGUCCAGACACAAAUUCGCAGAGGACAGGCCCCAGCUACGUGAAGCAUCAAAAGACAGGAAUGACUUCUUUCAUGCACACUGAUUUAUUAGAAAUUAAGAGAAAAAAAAA
Molecule: long non-coding RNA, 4376 nt
Organism: Nothobranchius furzeri (turquoise killifish)
Lineage: Eukaryota; Metazoa; Chordata; Actinopteri; Cyprinodontiformes; Nothobranchiidae
Source: RefSeq, a predicted model, not a curated record